RNAcentral lists this ribosomal RNA (253 nucleotides) under uncultured bacterium. RNAcentral describes it as "partial 16S ribosomal RNA". It matches the Rfam family "Bacterial small subunit ribosomal RNA", at positions 524 to 776 of the family's 1533-position model. The record is from RNAcentral.
UACGUAGGGGGCAAGCGUUGUCCGGAAUUAUUGGGCGUAAAGAGCGCGUAGGCGGUCCGAUAAGUCGGCUGUGAAAGUCAGGGGCUCAACUGGGGAGGGUCACGCGAUACUGAUCGACUCGAAGGCAGGAGAGGGUAGUGGAAUUCCCGGUGUAGUGGUGAAAUGCGUAGAUAUCGGGAGGAACACCAGUGGCGAAGGCGACUACCUGGCCUGUUCUUGACGCUGAGGCGCGAAAGCUAGGGGAGCAAACGGG